GGAAAUGUGGCUAUGUGGUAGAGCGCUUGCCUAGCAUGCAUGAAGCCCUGGGUUCAAUUCCUCAGUACCA
RNAcentral lists this transfer RNA (70 nucleotides) under Dipodomys ordii (Ord's kangaroo rat). It matches the Rfam family "tRNA". Rfam says of the family: Transfer RNA (tRNA) molecules are approximately 80 nucleotides in length. Their secondary structure includes four short double-helical elements and three loops (D, anti-codon, and T loops). The record is from Rfam by way of RNAcentral. Lineage: Eukaryota; Metazoa; Chordata; Mammalia; Rodentia; Heteromyidae.